GAGGUUGAUGUGGGAUUUUAAUGCCUUGCAAACUAUUCUCUGCAACAGAAUAUAAUUUUCUUCAAGGCCGUCUCCAUGUGCAGAACUGCACCACUUCCAGCCCUUUGAUAACUCUGUGGAAGACGUCCUGUGACAGCUGACAGCUUCAGAAGAGGUGGAUGGAGAGGCCAUAACCUCUGGAACAUUCUCCAGCUGAGCUGUAGUCUGACCUUGGUCACUUUUAGACGGGAGUGUUCUUCCAGAAGCUGGAGAAUAACAAUACUUGGAUAUACAACGGAGAGUCCUUUCUAUUCAAAGCAGGGAUGCGAGGGGAAACAAGCAGAGAGGCAAUCUAACCAAAUCCAGAGACACCACAAGGACACUAGGAGAGACAGGAGGAAAGGCAAGAGACAGUCGACCAUCUCCAAGUCUUUAAAACCACCACUGUUUAGAGUCUGAGGUAGACUCUGAAGUCUAUUUCACACCAGUGUUGGGAUCAAUGCUCUUUGUGGGAGGCAAAUCGUCAAAUUCCUUACGAUUCAAGUUUAUCCAUAAAUAAUUUUCAUGUCUUCCAACUGAUCUAAGCUUUUUGAAUUUACAUUUAAUCCAAUGCCAGAUUUGAACCUAACUGCUUUUGUUGUCUGAAUACAUAGUAUGGAGAGUUACUUUCUGUUUAUUUUUUCUUUGCUAAAAAAAUGGAAACUGCACAUACCACAUGUGUCUGCUAUGUCACCAAGCUUCUAGCUUUUUAUGACCGUGUUGCAAAACAAAUUCACUGUGUCUCUUCCUCGUGUUUCUGAGGACUACAAAGCAAAGGAAAUUCAGUAAACCAGUUAAACCUUUCUUGCAAGUUAGCUGCCAACCAACAGUUGCGGAAAGUCUUUUAAGUUAAUGACUUGCUGUAGCUUUAUUACAUGAGAGGGAUUUUCAGUUUUAACACGCAGCUAAAUGUUUUUUGAGCUCCUUCUUGUACUCUGUGGAGCAGAAAAUCCUCUUUAACCUCUGUAACCUCCAACUCAUCUUCUCCUCAGUUCUCCAGGCCAGCGCUCCACUCAUCCCUUCUCCUCCUAUCUUCUUCUUUCUCCUCCCAGCACUCUUCCAAGCGAACAGGUCCACUGAUCUCUAUUUGGCUAAUCGGAGCACACACAGACACAGAUGCACACACACAUUCGUCCCUCUGGUGUCCAGCAGUGAUUAAUUAACUCAGAUGCACAACUGACAUGAUUGAAAUAGUUGUGUGUGAGAAUGUGGGGGUUUUUUUUCAGUGUUUUUUUUUUUUCUUUAGAUGUGUCCACAGCUUAUUUGCAUAUAAACAAACUGCAACCUUUUUUGUAAUUACAUAAAUGUUUAUUUUGCCAACAUUUGCAUUCGGGUGUGAAAGCGUGGAUCUGUGUGUGUCACAUGAGUAAUAGACACUCUGUUGCUCCAGGUUAUGUUGCAAUGCUCACUGUUGUCACAAACUUUAAUAUGCACGGACAGCCAACGUAGUCGGUCAGACAUCUGCAAUUUAUUAAAACUGAUCACAGCGAGUUUUUCUUUUGUUUGAGCGUUGCUUUUUAUUCUGAUGCUUGUUUUUGCUUUUUAUCUGGAGGAAACCAAAUCAAAUAUUGAUUAUAAAAGAUAAAAAAGAAAUAAUACUAAUCAUAAUAAAAUUAAUAACGCUGGAAAGGGCAUCUGUCUGUACAAACUCAUUUGGCAAAACUCUGGGGCAAACCCUCAUGGGUCUGCAUUUACCUUUUGAUUCAAGGCAAAGAAUUUCUUUAAAACAUUUCUUUAAGUUGGCAGGAUCUAAUUUUAGAUGAUUAAUAGAUAAUUAAUAUGAAUAAUUUAGGAAAUUUAGUUGAUUGUGUCCUAUCUGUUACAGAAAUAUGUAUGUCCUCUGUCAGACCCAAAUAAAUCAUUUUUCU
This 1886-nucleotide long non-coding RNA is filed under the name Oreochromis niloticus (Nile tilapia). Its description in RNAcentral is "lncRNA (ENSONIG00000025025.2)". Lineage: Eukaryota; Metazoa; Chordata; Actinopteri; Cichliformes; Cichlidae. The record is from RNAcentral.